GGGGAAUCUUGCGCAAUGGGAGCAAUCCUGACGCAGCAACGCCGCGUGGGUGAUGAAGGUCUUCGGAUCGUAAAGCCCUGUCGGAGGGGAAGAUGCUUGGAACGUCUAAUAGAUGAGCCAGGUGACGGUACCCUCAAAGGAAGCACCGGCUAACUCUGUGCCAGCAGCCGCGGUAAUACAGAGGGUGCAAGCGUUGUUCGGAAUUAUUGGGCGUAAAGGGAGUGUAGGCGGUUUGGAAAGUCUUCUGUGAAAUCUACGGGCUUAGCCUGUAAAGUGCAGAGGAAACUACCAGGCUUGAGUGUCGGAGAGGAUAGGGGAAUACCCAGUGUAGAGGUGAAAUUCGUAGAGAUUGGGUGGAACACCAGUGGCGAAGGCGCCUAUCUGGCUGACAACUGACGCUGAGACUCGAAAGCAUGGGGAGCAAAC
This 426-nucleotide ribosomal RNA is filed under the name uncultured bacterium. Its description in RNAcentral is "bacterial SSU rRNA". It matches the Rfam family "Bacterial small subunit ribosomal RNA", at positions 356 to 773 of the family's 1533-position model. The record is from RNAcentral.